Non-coding RNA from Camellia sinensis, 688 nucleotides. Lineage: Eukaryota; Viridiplantae; Streptophyta; Magnoliopsida; Ericales; Theaceae. The record is from RefSeq and is a predicted model, not a curated record.
UCCCAGUAUGAAACAUAUUUAAUAAGCUCUUUAAUCUCAUUCCCACUUAAUAAGAGAUUGUGCCACUUUCAUUUCAGAUUUGGCUGAUGCUGUGAUUGAAAGUCUUCCAUACGUUGGAGCGAUGGCAGUCUCAAAUCUUGAAGCUUGACAGUCUCUAGUUCCUCUUGGAAGCGUUGAAGAACUAUUGGCAGCGUAUGAUUCGCAGCGUCGGGAGCUUCCACCACCGGUCACGGUGUGGGAAUGGGGAUGGACAAAAAGUGCUGAAACUUAGAAUAAUUGUAGUGUAGUGAUAUGAAGAAAAUAAUACAUUUUUUUUGCAGUUAUUUUAUUCCUUGGUGCCUGCACAAAGCCUCCUCGGCUGUCCAUGGUGACUGAAUACGUGGAAAUGGGAUCAUUGUACCAUUUAAUCCAUGUGAGUGGGCUGAAAAAGAGACUCAGCUGGAGAAGGAGAGUGAAAAGGAUAUGUGAUAUAUGCAGUAUUUCCCAGCCAAGCUGAGAUGGUGAACAUUCCAAAUUGAAGACAUUGAUUUGAGAAAUCACAGAUUUUAUUUUAUUUUUCUUUUUGUGAUUGAUUCAUGCACUUGUAUAAAAUACAACAGAGAUUUGUGGGUUCUUUGUAAAUCCACUGAUGUGUUCUAGAAAUGUUCUAUCAAUAAACAAUUUAAAUGCAUUUGGCCAAGAUAAAACA